RNAcentral lists this ribosomal RNA (748 nucleotides) under uncultured Ruminococcus sp. RNAcentral's name for it is "bacterial SSU rRNA". It matches the Rfam family "Bacterial small subunit ribosomal RNA", at positions 28 to 776 of the family's 1533-position model. The record is from RNAcentral. Lineage: Bacteria; Bacillati; Bacillota; Clostridia; Eubacteriales; Oscillospiraceae.
GAUGAACGCUGGCGGCGUGCCUAACACAUGCAAGUCGAGCGAAGCACUUUGCUUAGAUUCUUCGGAUGAAGAGGAUUGUGACUGAGCGGCGGACGGGUGAGUAACGCGUGGGUAACCUGCCUCAUACAGGGGGAUAACAGUUAGACAUGACUGCUAAUACCGCAUAAGACCACAGCACCGCAUGGUGCGGGGGUAAAAACUCCGGUGGUAUGAGAUGGACCCGCGUCUGAUUAGCUAGUUAGUAAGGUAACGGCUUACCAAGGCGACGAUCAGUAGCCGACCUGAGAGGGUGACCGGCCACAUUGGGACUGAGACACGGCCCAAACUCCUACGGGAGGCAGCAGUGGGGAAUAUUGCACAAUGGGGGAAACCCUGAUGCAGCGACGCCGCGUGAGCGAAGAAGUAUUUCGGUAUGUAAAGCUCUAUCAGCAGGGAAGAAAAUGACGGUACCUGACUAAGAAGCACCGGCUAAAUACGUGCCAGCAGCCGCGGUAAUACGUAUGGUGCAAGCGUUAUCCGGAUUUACUGGGUGUAAAGGGAGCGUAGACGGAUGGGCAAGUCUGAUGUGAAAACCCGGGGCUCAACCCCGGGACUGCAUUGGAAACUGUUCAUCUAGAGUGCUGGAGAGGUAAGUGGAAUUCCUAGUGUAGCGGUGAAAUGCGUAGAUAUUAGGAGGAACACCAGUGGCGAAGGCGGCUUACUGGACAGUAACUGACGUUGAGGCUCGAAAGCGUGGGGAGCAAACAGG